GGCAACAGAGUGAGACUCUAUCUCUAAACAAAGAAAACAAAAGAAAUAGGAAACAUCACAGUCAAUGGGACAUUGAACCAUUCACCUCUAUACAUGACAUGCGUCAUCCCAAGAUGGAGGAGUGUCAUGGAGAAAUCCUGCUGACCAAACAAAAGUAGGAAAUGCCACUCAAGUCAAUAUAUAAUCAGAGCCCCACCCCACCUCAGAGUACAGUGAUCUUCUCCAAGCCUGCAGCGCCUCAGUUAGGAAAGUGAAAGCUUGCAAAAGGCAUUGGGGCAACAAAAUAGUCUCUAUUUCUUAUCAGGGACAAAAUGUACUUCCUUAUCAAACAGAGACCUAACCAAGGACACUCAUAAGGCAAGCUGUCAGUUUGUCCUUUAUAACCAAUUGUAGGCGGUGUGCACCUGUACUGGGCAAGCAGCAGGUCAUGUUUACAUGAGGAAGAAGCUAUCCAGGAAGAUCCACUUGACAUGGAUUAUAAAUAGCUAAAGAAACAAGUUCAUUUUGGUGCAUUUCAAAGACAUAUUAAAGGAAAGGUGGAGGCCAGAAGAGCAGAAGGCUCUGAGAAAAGUGCAUCACAGUGGCCCAUUAUGAUGUCUGUCUAUGGUCACGUGAGCUGGCAUAUGAGAGUGCUCUGUGAGCCUCAGUGCCUUCAGUGGCAUCAUUGCACUGUGACUGUGCAGGUCCCAAACAGUAUGGACAUGAAUGUCCUCAAGCUGCAUGUUAGCAGGGCUUCUAAUUCCAUCUGCAAGUGAUAGUGUGUGGAGCUUAGUUGCACAGAGCGCAUGUUACUGGAGGAGAUAUGGGUCUGUGUCAUCCUGCAUGGGAAUGAUCCUAAAAACAAAGUGAUCAGUGACUGCUCAGGACUGUGGAAAGGUCACUUGGAGCAGUGGGAAAAGGUCUGGCAGAGGAAUAAGAAGAUACAGGUCUUAGAACAAGCCCUGGGACUUCAACCAAGUCAUUUAACAUCUGGGGCCUUCGUUUAUUUAUCCUCCCAGCAGAUAAAGCAAUACCUGCCCUGUCUUCCUAACCUUGGAGGGGUCAAAAAAGUGAUGGGUGUGAAAGCAUUUUGUAAACUGUAGUGCAAGCAUACGGCAGGGGAGUGAACCAUACUUUCACUAGCGACUUGAAUGAGGUGAUAAAGAAAAGGCUCAGAACUUCAGAAAAUGCAAGAGGGGCUUGACCCUGGAUUGGCAGAGGAAAGCAAUGGUGGGAUCGAUACCUUGGAGAGCCAAGGACCAAGGGGUUAAGGGUCCAUGAGGACAGGCCUGGAUCAUCAGGAAGCUGAGUGUGGUAAGACUGUGGCUUCUUCAGGGAUUGGGUGGAGUACAGUCCUGCCAAGACCACAGUAACUCAGGGCUUGGAGACAUCACAAAGGCAGGGGCUCCUAGAGCUGAGAUAAUCUGGAGAAGAGGAUACCCAUCUACUGCAUUCUGAGAUUGGGUUCGACCUGUAGGUCAUCUUGGAUAGACGUUUUCCAGCUCUUCUUUUUUUUUUUUUUUGGAACAGAGAGAACCUAAUUGACCCUUAAAGUUCCACAGAGCAGAGUUUGCAAAUCUCUGGUUCAGCCUUAUUAUUUAAAUGAGAGGAGAAUGAAAUCCCAGAAAAGAGAUGUGAUUAUGUGAAGGUCACACAGCAAGUUAGUUGCCAAGCUGCAACUGGAACUCAGAAUUUCUGGUUCCCAGUUCUAUAUCUUAGCCUCCCAAACUGGCUAUGUGGACAGGAAAGAACAGAGUAAUGGGGUGAGCUUUAAGGAUGCAAUUUCAUAGGAUUCCAAGAGUCUCAAGGUUAGAGAAGUCGCCUAGUCCACCUCCCCUCUCUGCUUCUCACAGAAGGGUCUGCUGAACACUCUGGUGACAGAGAACUCACCCAACAUGUUCCAUGGCAGAGGCUUUUCAUUAGAUCAAGGUGACAUCUGUUUUACUGGAGCUUCCAACCACGUGUCCCAAUACUGCCCUUAGUCACAGGCAUCCAGGUCCUCUCUCUCAGGACAGCACUUUGAAUAAAUGAGGACAGCUCCCAUCCCCCUUUCUCCCAGUUGACUUUCCAGAAACAUCUCAUAUUGUUGUUGGCUUUCCACCAUUUUUCCUCUUCACUUCCUGGGCCUACUACUACACUGUGUGUCCUCCACUUGGUCUCUUCCUGAAAGCAACACUGUGCACAAUGUUCCUGGGGGCAGACUUAUUAAACCAAGUGGACCACUUCCUUCAUCUUAGGUGUCACAGCUCCAUCAAUGCAUCCUCAAAUCACAAUG
Long non-coding RNA from Homo sapiens (human), 2254 nucleotides. Ensembl annotates it as long intergenic non-protein coding RNA 608. The record is from Ensembl. NCBI's taxonomy places the organism in Eukaryota, Metazoa, Chordata, Mammalia, Primates, Hominidae.